This is a long non-coding RNA of Numida meleagris (helmeted guineafowl), 1789 nucleotides long. RefSeq lists it as uncharacterized. The record is from RefSeq and is a predicted model, not a curated record. Lineage: Eukaryota; Metazoa; Chordata; Aves; Galliformes; Numididae. The transcript is spliced from 3 exons.
CCUGGUAAGAAGGAAGGGCCAACCCAUGGGAGCUUAGGUGUAUGCAGUGCGCCUCAGUGACCAGAAGUACGGUCACUCAGAAGAAGGUGAGAGUGUCUUAUUGGAGAUUCAUGCAUACCUGAGGCCUUAUGAAGGUCUACAUUUUCUAUGUGCACAGGAGACUUUUCAUGAAUAUUGUUCUGCAGCUGAGUAAUGAAAUUGCAUGUCAUCACUGUGAUUCACCCAUAUAAAAUUACUUCCAGAAAAAGGUAAUGGAAAUCUUCACUGCAGCAUUCAGUUUGAAGAAACCUGGUAUUUCAACAAAAGGAAACAACAGUUCUUGGAACAAGUGACAUACAGAGGAAAUUUCUUUCUGGGACUACUAAAACCACGUAGUGUCACCAACAGUGCAUACAGCCAUGUUUCAGACUUCAACCCAGCCCUCUUAUGUUACAUUUGUAAUCUAAGUAAGGAGGGAGAAUUCCAGGAAGAAAACAUCUCAAAAGGUCCAUCAGUAUCUAUGAAAAUAAGACUCUCCUUAGGGCAUGACCACUGUUUGCAAGUUAGAGCUUUCAAAUGCCAUGAUAAAGCAGCGCUUCCCAGCAGAAGCUGAACAUUUUUAAGUCAAGUCUUCUGUAGAAGACUUUGGGAAACCAUUACCCAGGACACCCAGGGAUGCCAGUCAUGUGAGGUUUUGCUGCACUGCUUCUCUGGCUGCCUCAUGCUACAGGGGUGGUAUACUUCAGCAGCUGGCUUCGCAACUGGAGAAAGAAAAGAACAGUGAGAUUGAUUUCAUCAGUGGAAAAGAACAGGGUUUCUGAGAUCACUUCUUUUUUUUUUUAAAUAAAAAAAAUAUAUUCCCACAGAUUCUACCGGAAAUACUCUGGAAGAGGAGAAGCUGGCCACAUUGAUAAUAAUAACAGUAAUAAUAAUGAUGAUAAUUUUUAAAGAAAAAACAUUAGUGUCUUAAAAUGAUCAGUCCUGCAUAUGCUGAAGCUUAGGACAUGAGGCAUCCACUAACAAGCAGGCUACAACAGAGAACUGUUAUAGAAUGAAAGCUCCUAUCUGAAAAGACACCAUGGAAAAGCAGAAGAGAGAAAGAGACAUCAUAAAGACAUACAAUCAUUCUUGGUAUCUGACUAGAGAGCUACAAUUCCGAAUAAAAUAAUCCUGAGUUACUUCAACUAUUUUCUCUGAAAAAUAUAACUUGAUUUUUAUGGAAAUGAAAACUUUACAGGUGAUAUGAAUCUAAAGGCUGUGUGUGAGCUGUGCACAGUAGAGCUAGGGGACACUCAGAGCUCAGCAGAAGCUGUGUCACUGCUCCAAAUGUCCUCAUCAAGAAAGUGGCCAUGCAGAAGUUGUCAGCCCCUGCCCAGCUUGUCACUCCCAUAACAGAAUCCCUCUGUGGUACCCCAAGCAGUUGCCUCUGCUCAAUCUCCAGGUGACCAACACUCAUGACACAGCAGAUCUCACUGCUCCUACUCCAUGGGAGAUCAGAAGAAAACACUCAUCCUCACACAAGCAUCAUCUGCUGAUCUGCUUCUAGUACAGAAGCCACACUUCAAAUUCCCACAAGCUCUAUGAGUCACAGGAGUCCCACCCUAACUUGUUACACCACUCACAACUAUGAUUUUAUUUCAAGCCAAUGAACUGCUUUUUGUUUAGAAAUCAAAACAAUAAUGCACCGAAAUAAAGAAAAAAACAGUAAGUUCCAUUUGGAGGAAUGAACAAAGCUUGUGAUAAUUGUGCAUUUAAAAAUACUGAAGAUACCUAAUUUGAGAUGGAAAUAAAAGCGUUCAUGUCACUUCAA